CUAAUUUGCGGGGGGCUUGACGGUACCGACGAAGGAAGCACCGGCUAACUCCGUGCCAGCAGCCGCGGUAAUACGGAGGGUGCAAGCGUUGUUCGGAAUUAUUGGGCGUAAAGGGCGCGUAGGCGGUCUGUUAAGUCUGGUGUGAAAGCCCGGGGCUCAACCCCGGAAGUGCAUUGGAUACUGGGAGGCUUGAGUAUGGGAGAGGAAAGUGGAAUUCCGGGUGUAGGGGUGAAAUCCGUAAAUAUCCGGAGGAACACCAGUGGCGAAGG
Molecule: ribosomal RNA, 269 nt
Filed under: uncultured bacterium
Lineage: Bacteria
Description: partial 16S ribosomal RNA
Rfam family: Bacterial small subunit ribosomal RNA
Source: RNAcentral